RNAcentral lists this ribosomal RNA (690 nucleotides) under uncultured Alphaproteobacteria bacterium. RNAcentral's name for it is "bacterial SSU rRNA". It matches the Rfam family "Bacterial small subunit ribosomal RNA", at positions 8 to 744 of the family's 1533-position model. Lineage: Bacteria; Pseudomonadati; Pseudomonadota; Alphaproteobacteria. The record is from RNAcentral.
AGAGUUUGAUCAUGGCUCAGAACGAACGCUGGCGGCAGGCCUAACACAUGCAAGUCGAGCGCGCCCUUCGGGGUGAGCGGCGGACGGGUUAGUAACGCGUGGGAAUAUGCCCAAAGGUACGGAAUAGCCUCUGGAAACGGAGAGUAAUACCGUAUGUGCCCUUCGGGGGAAAGAUUUAUCGCCUUUGGAUUAGCCCGCGUUAGAUUAGGUAGUUGGUGGGGUAAUGGCCUACCAAGCCUACGAUCUAUAGCUGGUUUUAGAGGAUGAUCAGCAACACUGGGACUGAGACACGGCCCAGACUCCUACGGGAGGCAGCAGUGGGGAAUCUUGGACAAUGGGCGCAAGCCUGAUCCAGCCAUGCCGCGUGAGUGAUGAAGGCCUUAGGGUCGUAAAGCUCUUUCGCCAGGGAUGAUAAUGACAGUACCUGGUAAAGAAACCCCGGCUAACUCCGUGCCAGCAGCCGCGGUAAUACGGAGGGGGUUAGCGUUGUUCGGAAUUACUGGGCGUAAAGCGCGCGUAGGCGGAUCGGAAAGUUGGGGGUGAAAUCCCGGGGCUCAACCCCGGAACUGCCUCCAAAACUAUCGGUCUAGAGUUCGAGAGAGGUGAGUGGAAUUCCGAGUGUAGAGGUGAAAUUCGUAGAUAUUCGGAGGAACACCAGUGGCGAAGGCGGCUCACUGGCUCGAUACUGAC